RNAcentral lists this ribosomal RNA (253 nucleotides) under uncultured bacterium. Its description in RNAcentral is "partial 16S ribosomal RNA". It matches the Rfam family "Bacterial small subunit ribosomal RNA", at positions 524 to 776 of the family's 1533-position model. The record is from RNAcentral.
UACGUAGGGUGCGAGCGUUGUCCGGAAUUAUUGGGCGUAAAGGGCUCGUAGGCGGUUUGUCGCGUCGGGAGUGAAAACACUGGGCUUAACUCAGUGCUUGCUUUCGAUACGGGCAGACUAGAGGUAUGCAGGGGAGAACGGAAUUCCUGGUGUAGCGGUGAAAUGCGCAGAUAUCAGGAGGAACACCGGUGGCGAAGGCGGUUCUCUGGGCAUUACCUGACGCUGAGGGACGAAAGCUAGGGGAGCGAAUGGG